Molecule: ribosomal RNA, 801 nt
Filed under: uncultured bacterium
Lineage: Bacteria
Description: bacterial SSU rRNA
Rfam family: Bacterial small subunit ribosomal RNA
Source: RNAcentral
GGUGGACGGGUGAGUAACGCGUAGGAAUCUACCUCUUGGUGGGGGAUAGCCCUUUGAAAAAAGGUGUAAUCCCGCAUAAGUUCUCUGGAAGAAAGGCCGUAACUGGUCGCCGAGAGAGGAGCCUGCGUGCUAUCAGCUUGUUGGUGAGGUAAAGGCUCACCAAGGCUAUGACGGCUAGGGGGCGUGAGAGCGCGACCCCCCACAAGGUCACUUAGACACGGGGCCUACACCUACGGGUGGCAGCAACCAAGAAUAUUGCGCAAUGGGCGAAAGCCUGACGCAGCGACACCGCGUGUGGGAAGACGCCUCUAGGGGUGUAAACCACUGUGGCAGGGGAGGAAUUUUGACAGUACCCUGCUAGAAAGCACCUGCUAACUACGUGCCAGAAGCCUCGGUAAUACGUAGGGUGCGAGCGUUAUCCGGAUUUAUUGGGCGUAAAGCGUUCGUAGGCGGACUGGUAAGUGGCGGGUUAAAUGCCUCGGCUCAACUGAGGAAAGGCUCGUCAUACUGCUAGUCUUAGAGAGUGUUCGGGGAGGUUGGAAUUCUCGGUGGAGGGGUGAAAUCCGUUGAUAUCGAGAGGAACGCCAAGGGUGAAGACAGGCCUCUAGGACAUUUCUGACGCUGAGGGACGAAAGCUAGGGUAGCAAACGGGAUUAGAGACCCCGGUAGUCCUAGCUGUAAACGAUGGAUACUAGAUGCCCCGUUCGCCAAGAAUGAAAGGUAACUUUUGUUUUUGGUGAGUGGGGUGUCGUAAGCUAACGCGUUAAGUAUCCCGCCUGGGGAGUACGGCCGCAAGGUUAA